Molecule: ribosomal RNA, 22 nt
Filed under: Chlamydia caviae
Lineage: Bacteria; Pseudomonadati; Chlamydiota; Chlamydiia; Chlamydiales; Chlamydiaceae
Description: partial 16S ribosomal RNA
Source: RNAcentral
UGGGGCUGGAUCACCUCCUUUU